AUUGAACGCUGGCGGCAUGCCUUACACAUGCAAGUCGAACGGUAACAGGUCUUCGGAUGCUGACGAGUGGCGAACGGGUGAGUAAUACAUCGGAACGUGCCCAGACGUGGGGGAUAACGAGGCGAAAGCUUUGCUAAUACCGCAUACGAUCUAAGGAUGAAAGCAGGGGACCGCAAGGCCUUGUGCGUUUGGAGCGGCCGAUGGCAGAUUAGGUAGUUGGUGGGAUAAAAGCUUACCAAGCCGACGAUCUAUAGCUGGUCUGAGAGGACGACCAGCCACACUGGGACUGAGACACGGCCCAGACUCCUACGGGAGGCAGCAGUGGGGAAUUUUGGACAAUGGGCGAAAGCCUGAUCCAGCAAUGCCGCGUGCAGGAUGAAGGCCUUCGGGUUGUAAACUGCUUUUGUACGGAACGAAAAGGCUCUGGCUAAUACCUGGGGCACAUGACGGUACCGUAAGAAUAAGCACCGGCUAACUACGUG
Molecule: ribosomal RNA, 482 nt
Filed under: uncultured bacterium
Lineage: Bacteria
Description: partial 16S ribosomal RNA
Rfam family: Bacterial small subunit ribosomal RNA
Source: RNAcentral